UACGGAGGAUGCGAGCGUUAUCCGGAUUUAUUGGGUUUAAAGGGUGCGUAGGCGGGUUAUCAAGUCAACGGUAAAAUCGUGGAGCUCAACUCCAUCCAGCCGUUGAAACUGAUGAUCUUGAGUGGGCGAGAAGUAUGCGGAAUGCGUGGUGUAGCGGUGAAAUGCAUAGAUAUCAGGAGGAACACCGGCGGCGAAGGCGGCCUGCUGGACCGCGACUGACGUUGAGGCUCGAAAGCGUGGGGAGCGAACAGG
RNAcentral lists this ribosomal RNA (252 nucleotides) under uncultured Bacteroidales bacterium. RNAcentral describes it as "partial 16S ribosomal RNA". It matches the Rfam family "Bacterial small subunit ribosomal RNA", at positions 524 to 776 of the family's 1533-position model. Lineage: Bacteria; Pseudomonadati; Bacteroidota; Bacteroidia; Bacteroidales. The record is from RNAcentral.